ACAGCUGGCCUGAGGAGAGGAGAUUUGAGAAGUGACGGCCCAAGGCACUUUUGCCCGCCGGGAGUCCGGCGGCUGGCAAUACCGCUUCGGCUGAAGUAGGGAUCUGGUUUUUAUUCCGAGUUUAGACCGCCCAACCCAAGGGAGCUGUGAACUAUCGGAGUGAGAGGAGACCUUCAUAUUGGUCUCUGAAGGACCCACUGUACAAGGAGACGAGAGGAAUGACGGUCUUCACAAGAUCAUCGCCCUUCAUUUAUUAUUUUUCCAUCUUCUUUUUUUAUCCUUUUUCAUAGUGAAUUUCUUUGUAGUGUUCCCCACUUUGCAUUAUUGGACUUUUCAUAUAUUGGUAACUUUUGGUGCACCCGAAUAACCAAACAAACGGGUUUUUAUUCAUUUCACUGUUCUUUAAUUAAAUCAAAAGGGGAAAAGAUGCUAAAAAUAGGGGGGAAAAUGUAAUGAAUGACUCGGAUUGAGAAGAAGUAGAAAGCCACGCUCACAUUUUAGCUAAAUAGAUACAUUUGACAGAAAAAAAAAAAACUUUGGCGCAUGUUUGGUGCACAACGUUAAUAAAUAGAGAAAAGUCAACUUCAACAAAAUAUAAACAGAAUUCUAACAGUACAUAAGGGUUGAUAGGUGACAGCUAGAGAUGAGCGAACU
Hyla sarda is the source of this 654-nucleotide long non-coding RNA. RefSeq lists it as uncharacterized. The record is from RefSeq and is a predicted model, not a curated record. The transcript is spliced from 3 exons. Lineage: Eukaryota; Metazoa; Chordata; Amphibia; Anura; Hylidae.